Non-coding RNA from Myodes glareolus (Bank vole), 5931 nucleotides. NCBI's taxonomy places the organism in Eukaryota, Metazoa, Chordata, Mammalia, Rodentia, Cricetidae. The record is from RefSeq and is a predicted model, not a curated record.
CCCCGGAGCUUCCUUAGCGCGCAUGCUCAACACCUUUGUCGGGCCACACAGCAGCUCUUUGAGAGAGAGAGGACAGGGACACAUUGUUUCCUUUUGUAAGGCAAUAAGAGAAUGAGAUGGAGCCAGCGGAAAGCUGAGGUGAAGGCACUGUACCUGGUAACACAUUCACAGUCAGAGGAGAACAGCUUUCUCGUUUCCAGGCAGAAAAACUGGUCAGAGACCGGUGACUUCCUCACUUAGCGAAGGCCAUUUGAUGACUUAGUAGUAACAAAGUCAAUACUACAAUGAAAACAGCAACGAUAACAAACAAAUAAGCACAAAAUGGUGGCAAUUGUUGGCAAGGAUGGUAACAUAAAUACAAGCCCUGUGUGCUGCUGAUAGAAUGUUAAACGAUAUGGCCCCUGGGAGAAAAAUCCGAAGGUGAUCCCUCAAAAAACUAAAUGUGACUUACUCCAAGAUCUAGAAACUUCACUCCCACCUACCAGUGGGUCCAGAAGAAUUGAAAACCGGAACCAGAGAAGAUAUUUGUAAACCUACCUUGCUGGCAACAUUGCUUACACUGUCUAGAGGGCAGACGCAAGCCUGGUCCACGACAGACAAACUGACACACCACGUGGCAUGCACACCUACCACGGAAUCUCAUUUCGCUUCUGAAGGAAGGAAACAUCAGGACAGCCUGCAGCAGAAGGAACGUGGAGGACGCUGGGAAAGGGCCAACUGGACCGCGAUGAGAUUCUACUUUGAAAGAAAUGCCACUGAGCUCCUAGACAUCAAUAACAUACAAGAGGCUGUUGUGGGGUGAGUUCAGCUAAGCAUCCCAUUAAGGUGCCCAUUGUCUUCUCCUCUGGUGGGGAAGUGGGGGCAUCAUUGGUACUUCGAUAGUCCCCACAGAACUUGGGCCUUCUGUGGAGUGCUGGGGGCAGAAAUGGCGCAGGAUAGCUGGUGUGGAAAGAAAGAUGACAGGGCCUGAAAACUCCAAAUACAAGACCGACAAGUGCUCUGGCCUUCCACCUCUGCGGUGCUAACCCAGACAAUCAAGAGCAGAGACUCUGAAGGGCUAUCUGUGCACGCGUGUUUAUAUUCACAAUUGCCCAAAGCUAGAAACAGCAGGACACCCAUGGGUAAGUGGGGGAGGGGACAUGCAAAAUGUGGUAAAGAAAACAAACAAAAUAAACAAAUAAACACUGGCGUGUGCCCUGGAAGAAGCCAGCCACAUAUAUGCCGUUGGUAGUUAAACUCAGACAGAGGUCAAACAGUGGGGGUGGAGACAAAGAGAUUUACUGAUUAAUGGUGCAUAGAGAGAUCUAAGUUAGGAAGACUGAUAAAAGCCUUGGGUGCCUGUGGUACGACGCCAUGGAUCUGCUUCGGUGUCUCCCAGCUCUACCUUUAAAAGCAGUCGCAAUGGAAAAGUCUGUACAGUGUGUAUUUAACCGCAGGGAGGGAAGGAAAGUGUAGACCAGAACUCUCUAGGGCUUGCAGAACUUCCAGAUGUGCACCUAGCCCAGGAGCCUUUUCCAAAGCAGGUUCUGACGGACUAGCCAAACCUCUGCAUGCUGACUGGUUCGGCUUCAAACACAAACCAAUUAAGUUCAACAGUCGGGAACACCAAGCAGAGACCUCCGCGACCCUCCCUGCUCUGAUGUGUGUAGACGAACCAGCCCUACCUUCUAGCCUGCACAUCCAGGUAGAUGGCUAACAGCUCCGCAUGCCACAGCACGCAAUCAAUAGUGCCGGUGUUUGUGCGAGCCAUUCUUCAAGCUAGAAGUCUGAGGAGGCAGGUGGGGAAGCUGACAGUGGGGGAGGAGGAGAGCCAGCCUAUCAGGUAUCUAUUACUCAGGGAGAGAUGAAAGAAGACUCAGAGAGUCCUUUCAAAGCUGCAAACAGCCAGGAUGGGUGGAUCCCACGGCCGGCAGCCAGCUGGGCCGCAGGAACUUCUUCCAAUGAGGUUGACCAUCCCAGGAAAACCCCUCUGAGUCGCUAGUGUUAACUGAUUGCUGAUGAUUGACGCACGGGCCUUUUAUGUCCCCAAAUGAAAGGCAGAAAUGGGGCCCUGACUUUGGCGUGGAUGACUACCCCAGCACCGGUUCCCUAGCAAAGACGGAAUUUUAAAACAUUGAUGUUAGCUGAGCGGGAGCGCGGCUCCACCGCGGCUCAUGGAGGAAUGAAACGAUCUUGUCUGGUGUUCGCCUUCCUUUGUUCUUUCACUCAGACAUUAAAAAUACAGCAGGCUAAAAGGAGAAAAUAAAUUUCAAAGACCCUCCUAGCCGGCAGACGCAAAGACAGGUGAGGUGUGGAGCGAGCUUGCGAAACAGAUGAAGCAAGUCUGGGAUGAGCCUUGGGUUCUUUGGAGACCGGCUUAAGUGUGCUUUGGCUCCUCUUAAGUGUGCCUUGGCUCCUCGCAGCCUCCUUGGAGAAUUCUCACAGGCAGGCCUCCUAUACCCGCUGCCCUGUGUACUGGGCUGGGCCUUUGAUACAGCAUUUCAGAGAGACGCCAGGCUUCUAGACUUUUCUAUAGCGCUUCAGGAAAAGAGACUCUCUCUGUGCUCUUGGCCCAGACGGGCUGAUUGCUUCUGAAAGAGGUGCGGCUUGGGGUCUUAGCAACAAUAAACACAUUUACUGCUGCAUGAUAUAAAUAAAAAAAAAAAAGUCAACACAUCGUGAGUGCAUGCUGUUGGGUGUGUGCUAGAUGUGUCUUUCCCUACCUGACACACCCACGUAACAUCUACCUGAUCGAUUGACCAAACAUUGAUUGCAGCUUGUCAUAUCCAAAUGACCGAACUUGUUUCCUGUCGUAAGGGAGAAACCACUGCCAGGAAUGCUGUCCUGGGCAGGGAGAAAGUAUUCAAGUCUACCUCAGUACAGAGUCUCCCACACUUUGAUGACGACUGAAGAACUCAUGUGACUUAUCCUCCAAAUGACGUGCUGUUUGAGCGUGUUGGUGCAAGCAUCCACCGAGAUGUGGAAUACCUUUAAGAUUGAAAAUGCACUACAGGCGUAAAUUGAAACUUCCAUGAAACUGGUGGAUAUCUGUACCCAGUAGCAACUGCACACAGUCCAGCACUAUGUUCCAGACCCCCACUCGCCACGGCUCCAUCUUUGAUGCAUUUCUCUCUCGGCUCUACCCUGUGGGAGGCAGACUCCUGCACAUUGGACCACCACACUGCAACUGGUCCUCUUGCCCUCUGCCACAGCUAAUCAGAGACCUUCCAGAAUAACACCAGUAGGAAGAGAGAGGAGUCAGCAAACUUUUUUGGGGUCACCGUCCUGCACUGAUGCAAAAUCCCUUCUGUGAUUACCACUUCCUCCAGAGUGGUCCUCCUACCAAGCUGCAGAUCUCUCCAACCUCCAGAGUUGUUGUCCUAACGCUGUAGAUACAAUCCCCACACCUGCGUUAUCAGCAUCACCGUGAAGUCCUGGGCACCACUGAGUCCUGUGGUGGGGUGCAGCCCUUGGCUUCUACGGUGUCCAGCCUGAAGUUUGGGAUUGUCUGAUUCACAGAACUCCAGGGGAUUUUCUAGUCUUUCUUUCUCCAAUAGGAACACACGAGAAGGUGAGCACACAGCUCCAAGGGCAUGCGGACAGGGGAUGAAGGUGCAAAGAACUGACUAAGUGGGACUCCCUGAACACUGACGGGCCCAGCUGGAGGAUUCAGCUCGCCAAGGCCAACUUCUCUCACCUAAAGCGUGGAAGUGGACGUCUGAAAGUAACAAAGUAACAAAGGGCGUGAUCACACUCACUUGAGUUCCAGUGGAAGAAUUUUAGAGCUGGCAGCCCAAUCUGGGAGAAGCCUUCAAGUCCUCCAACCUGCAGACCCACUCAGCAAGUGCGGCAAGUGACAGAGGAACCACCACCCCGACAAUCAGGGGGACAGGAUGCUUGCUCCUCCCUACUCACAGAGCAUUAAACAACCGCUCUGAGUCCUUUGUUUGCAAUCAAAGUUCAAUUCUAAUCAAUAUAAUUAAAACUAGGAGUCGGAUAAAGCAUCUGACUGCAAGGCCAAGGAGAGAGCUUCAGGAAUGGUUGGAUCAAGGGCCUUAGGUCACGUCUGACUGAGGUGGGUAUUUAUAUAUACUUGCUCAGCUUCCCAAUGUCUUGACAUCAGUUCUGGGCAAGAUAAUACUAACCAUAUCUUUAAGUCUUCAAAAUUUAAGGUACAUGGGCAUAUUUUCCAGUGCUCCUAUAGUAGGCUGGUAUUGCUAUAGUGAAGAGCUAUGAGCUGAGGCCUGAACAACAAAAACUGAUUCCAUCCAAAUUCUGGACACCAGAAUUCCAAGAUCAAGAUGUCAGCAAGGCUGGCUAUCCCAGAGCUGUGGGGAAGAACAAGUACCACUGUGGUUUGCUAGCAGUCUUUGGGGUCCUAAUCUCUGCCUUCACCUGCAUAUGACGUUCUCCUUAUGUGUCUCUGUCUCAGUUCCCCCAUUUACUGUGGACACUGUUUAUAUUUCGUUGGGGGUCUACCCCACUGCAGUGCGAUCCCACCCUACCCACCACGUCAGCAACUCCCCUUUUUUCCAAACAAGACCACAUUGUGCAGUAGUGGGGUGCCAAGAUUACACAGGAAUUUGGACAGAACACAUUUCAACUUCUAAUAGCAUCUUUCACAUCAGUGUGACCAAGAACUUCACAGCGGCACUGGCUGGGCUUCUCAUGAAUAACGGGUAUUUCAGAACCAAUACCUGUGAUAUACUGCCCUGUCUAUAGGUCUGCUGGUAUAGGCAGCAUGCCUGUUUAGAGCUGCGGUUCUCAAUGUGUGAGUCUUGACCCCCUGGGGGGAUAGCAUAUCAGAUAUUCUGCAUACCAGAUAUUUACAUUAUGAUUCAUAACAGUAGUAAAAUCACAGUUAUAAAGUAGCAAUGAAAAUAACUAUGGUGUGUGGGGGAUCCCUUGACAUGAGGAACUGUAUUAAGGGGGAGAUUUAAGUAUAAAUGAGGAAGUUUGGGAACCAUUGGUCUAGAGGAAGCAUAAACUCUGGAAAUAAGAGGCCUAAACACGGCUUGACUCCCUUUGAAAGCAAGGUCCUCUUGUCGCGAACUAAGAAAGGAAGUUGAGCAUCUAACUACUCUUAGUUCUUGAAGGCAUCCUGGGCUCCGUCGGCUCCUGGUGGCUCUGUGCUUUGCGUUCAUUCCUUUUCAUAUCAGGAGAUGAAAACAGUAGCUCCUGGUUAUCAGUCCACCUAGUAUUGAUUAAAAUCCCUUCCCGAAGACCUUCCGCCUCACUUCCGGCAUGGUAUGAUUUGCUUUUCUUUUGACUCCAUGUAACAUGUGAUUAAUGCUGAUCUUGGGAGUCCCGGUGAGAUGAAGCCGGGUGUCGGGUGUGAUUUGUCAGCUUGGAGGUAUAGAUUAUUUUAUGCUUCUCAAACUUUGUGGCCAAGGGAACACGGCUCUUGAUUGUUAGAUCCAUCCACACUUUCCCCUGGGCUAUGAAAUGCCAGAAACAUUAAAUACCCCACUUAAUACAUAACCUCAUUCUGUAUGCUUGACUAUUUUGUUUUUAAUUUUUCUUCCCUUUCCCGGCUGCUCACAUGAAAUGGGAUCAAAGAAAAAAAUUAUCCUCACUGGAUUUUGUUAAAAUAUUAAUAGGUUAGGGUUGACUGGCUAAAUUGAAUAUCUUUGCUGAUCUCCCUUGCAUGUUUAACUUGUGCUUAGGAAAAUAUGUUUCCUAGGUGAUAACCUUUUAUGUACCAGCCCGACUUCAUUGAAAUGCAUAGAGAUAAAAAUAUGUCACGCUCAGCGGCUACGCUAUUCUUGUGUGCCUCUGCGAUUAUUCAGAUGGUAAUUGACCCCCACCUGUAGACAGCUCCGAUUCUGUAGUCAAUCAUUUCAUUUGAUGUUAAAAUAUGUGAAAGUACAAUUAUAUAAUUUACAUUACAAAUCACGCUGAAUGCCAAGGGUCUCUGAACCCCUGACAAAUGCAAAGGCACCCAGGGUUGCA